Molecule: ribosomal RNA, 468 nt
Filed under: uncultured bacterium
Lineage: Bacteria
Description: partial 16S ribosomal RNA
Rfam family: Bacterial small subunit ribosomal RNA
Source: RNAcentral
GACGAACGCUGGCGGCGUGCUUAACACAUGCAAGUCGAACGGAAAGGCCCUGCUUUUGUGGGGUGCUCGAUUGGCGAACGGGUGAGUAACACGUGAGUAACCUGCCCUUGACUUUGGGAUAACUUCAGGAAACUGGGGCUAAUACCGGAUAGGAGCUCCUGCUGCAUGGUGUGGGUUGGAACGUUUCGGCGGUUGGGGAUGGACUCGCGGCUUAUCAGCUUGUUGGUGUGGUAGUGGCUUACCAAGGCUUUGACGGGUAGCCGGCCUGAGAGGGUGACCGGACACAUUGGGACUGAGAUACGGACCAGAAUCCUACGGGAGGCAGCAGGCGGGAAUAUUACGCAAUGGGCGGAAGCCUGAUGCAGCAACGCCGCGUGCGGGAUGACGGCCUUCGGGUUGUAAACCGAUUUCGCAUGUGACGAAGAGUGAGUGACGGUAAUGGGUAAAGAAGCAACGGCUAACUACGUG